This 305-nucleotide ribosomal RNA is filed under the name uncultured bacterium. RNAcentral describes it as "bacterial SSU rRNA". It matches the Rfam family "Bacterial small subunit ribosomal RNA", at positions 337 to 659 of the family's 1533-position model. The record is from RNAcentral.
UCCUACGGGGGGCAGCAGUAGGGAAUCUUCCACAAUGGACGAAAGUCUGAUGGAGCAACGCCGCGUGAGUGAAGAAGUAUUUCGGUAUGUAAACCUCUAUCAGCAGGGAAGAAAAUGACGGUACCUGACUAAGAAGCCCCGGCUAACUACGUGCCAGCAGCCGCGGUAAUACGUAGGGGGCAAGCGUUAUCCGGAUUUACUGGGUGUAAAGGGAGCGUAGGCGGCAGUGCAAGUCAGAAGUGAAAGCCCGGGGCUCAACUCCGGGACUGCUUUUGAAACUGUACAGCUUGAUUGCAGGAGAGGCA